This 577-nucleotide ribosomal RNA is filed under the name uncultured bacterium. RNAcentral's name for it is "bacterial SSU rRNA". It matches the Rfam family "Bacterial small subunit ribosomal RNA", at positions 346 to 916 of the family's 1533-position model. The record is from RNAcentral.
AGGCAGCAGUGGGGAAUUUUGGACAAUGGACGCAAGUCUGAUCCAGCCAUGCCGCGUGCAGGAAGAAGGCCUUCGGGUUGUAAACCGCUUUUGUCAGGGAAGAAACGGCUCGGGUUAAUACCUUGGGCUAAUGACGGUACCUGAAGAAUAAGCACCGGCUAACUACGUGCCAGCAGCCGCGGUAAUACGUAGGGUGCAAGCGUUAAUCGGAAUUACUGGGCGUAAAGCGUGCGCAGGCGGUUAUGCAAGACAGAUGUGAAAUCCCCGGGCUCAACCUGGGAACUGCAUUUGUGACUGCAUGGCUAGAGUACGGUAGAGGGGGAUGGAAUUCCGCGUGUAGCAGUGAAAUGCGUAGAUAUGCGGAGGAACACCGAUGGCGAAGGCAAUCCCCUGGACCUGUACUGACGCUCAUGCACGAAAGCGUGGGGAGCAAACAGGAUUAGAUACCCUGGUAGUCCACGCCCUAAACGAUGUCAACUGGUUGUUGGGAGGGUUUCUUCUCAGUAACGAAGCUAACGCGUGAAGUUGACCGCCUGGGGAGUACGGCCGCAAGGUUGAAACUCAAAAGAAUUGACGG